RNAcentral lists this ribosomal RNA (1636 nucleotides) under Nyctyornis amictus. RNAcentral describes it as "16S ribosomal RNA". The stretch from base 161 to 1627 matches the Rfam family "Bacterial large subunit ribosomal RNA". The record is from RNAcentral. Lineage: Eukaryota; Metazoa; Chordata; Aves; Coraciiformes; Meropidae.
AGCUCGACCUCUAGCCCAAGCAAAACAAACUACAACUGAGUUAGCCAAGCGCCAGUUAACAAAACCACUCUCCACACUAAACUAAAACAUUACCCUCAAACCUAGUAUAGGUGAUAGAAAAGAUAAACCAAACUUGACGCUAUAGAGACUUGUACCGCAAGGGACCGAUGAAAUAACAAUGAAAACCAAAGCAAUAAACAGCAAAGAUUAACUCUUGUACCUUUUGCAUCAUGAUCUAGCAAGACCAACCAAGCAAAACGCAUUUAAGCUUGUCCCCCCGAAACCUGAGCGAGCUACUUGUAAGCAGCUAUUUAUGAGCGCACCCGUCUCUGUGGAAAAAGAGUGGGACGACUUACUAGUAGAGGUGAAAAGCCAACCGAGCCAGGUGAUAGCUGGUUGUCCGUGAAACGAAUUUAAGUUCCCCCUUGACUACCCCUCACCCUAGGACAAGCAGACACUUACCAAACCCUAAUGCAGUAAGUCAAGAGCAAUUUAAAGGAGGUACAGCUCCUUUAAAAAAGAACACAACCUUCCCCAGCGGAUAAUCUUUUCCUACCAACAUACUGUGGGCCUUCAAGCAGCCACCAGCAAAGAAUGCGUCAAAGCUCCUUAACUUAAAAAUACUAAAACAAUGAAAUUCCCUCAUCAUCAACGGACUAACCUAUCACAAUAGGAGCACUAAUGCUAGAAUGAGUAACUUAGGAGUCAUCCUCAUACAGGCGUAAACUUACACUAGCAGCAAUUAACAGUCUCCCCGAUACCUCAACUUCAACUAGAACAGAGUAUCCGACCCACACUGUUAACCCGACUCAGGAACGCCCAUCAGAAAGACUAAAGUCUGCAAAAGGAACUAAGCAAACACCAGGCCCGACUGUUUACCAAAAACAUAGCCUUUAGCAAUUAAACCAAGUAUUAAAGGUGAUGCCUGCCCAGUGAUGUUGCACAUUCAACGGCCGCGGUACCCUAACCGUGCGAAGGUAGCGCAAUCAAUUGUCCCAUAAAUCGAGACUUGUAUGAAUGGCUAAACGAGGUCUAAACUGUCUCUUGCAGAUACUCAGUGAAAUUGAUCUUCCUGUGCAAAAGCAGGAAUAAUCCCAUAAGACGAGAAGACCCUGUGGAACUUAAAAAUCAACAGUCACCUUAUACCCAACACCAACCCAUCACGGGCUCACUACCAAAUAAGCACUGACAUGUAUUUUUCGGUUGGGGCGACCAUGGAGUAAAACACACCCUCCAUAAAUAAGACCACACCUCUUAACUAAGAACAACACAUCAACGUACAAACAGUGACCUGACCCAAUAUAAUUGAGCAAUGAACCAAGCUACCCCAGGGAUAACAGCGCAAUCCCCCUCAAGAGCUCUUAUCGACAGGGGGGUUUACGACCUCGAUGUUGGAUCAGGACAUCCUAAUGGUGCAGACGCUAUUAAGGGUUCGUUUGUUCAACGAUUAACAGUCCUACGUGAUCUGAGUUCAGACCGGAGCAAUCCAGGUCGGUUUCUAUCUAUGAUCCCGCUUUUCCUAGUACGAAAGGACCGGAAAAACAAGGCCAAUGCCCCAAGUAAGCCUUCCCAAUAAGUAAUGAACUAAACUAAAUUACGAAAAUGGAACCGCCAUAGACACUCCUAGAAAAGGAUA